This 1088-nucleotide unclassified non-coding RNA is filed under the name Bombus terrestris (buff-tailed bumblebee). RNAcentral describes it as "misc RNA ENSBTSG00005025043.1". The record is from RNAcentral. Lineage: Eukaryota; Metazoa; Arthropoda; Insecta; Hymenoptera; Apidae.
GUCACGAUUUUCAAAAUGUAGCAAGUAUUUAUAUGGAUCGCGAGUAUAAAGAUGUGCAUUUCGUUUACGAAUUGUGUGUCUCUAAGUUCUAGAAGUGUCGUUAGAAAACAUCAUGAAUCAUUCAACUUUAUACUGAUAAAAGCGGAUGAUACAUCGAAAUAUACACAUUUAUAAAAAAGGAUUUUCCAGAAAUAAUUUCAGUAGAGAGAACAAGACCAAUCGUUUGCAAUAUAAGGCACGGCGAAUAUCUGUACAUAAGACGGUGGUAUGCAACAAAAUGCGUGAGCUUUGCAAAAUGAAUGGAUGUUGUAUCAGCAAUUUCAGCGAGGUUGCACGUCGUUCGUAGCCUCAUCGAAAACAGUCGCCCGUGCUCUCCGCGAAAUUCAAGAUCGAUCGAUCAUCGGAUUCUUUCAGAAAGAAACGGUAUAGUUCUUGGGCCGCAUCCAUCAUGGCCAAGUCAAAAAUCCGACGACAAAAGGGCGUUGAAUUUCAUGACACGGAUGAACAGUCAGCUCUCUAUGAUUCACGUGGAUGAGUUUUCAGCAAAUGUCCUUACUGUGAUAGCAUAGUAAUGCGAUUCCGAUGUUGAACAUCUUUCAAUAGAAAUCGAUCGGUCCCUUGUUUUUAAAAUCAUGCGAGCUUGUUGUUGCUUCAUCACGUUCGCACGAUUAUCGUUACUGCUUUUGACUAAUAUUUAUAUCGUGAUGGACAACUAUUAACAUAUAGAAUCUAAAGUAUACAAUGACUGAUCCAUGUACAUAAACGUAACUCAUCCUCAAACUAGCAAUAAAUGAAGGUUGUUCAUGUAAAUAUUGCGCGAUUUGAAAAAAGAUAAUUCUGUCUUAUAACUGUCUCUCUUAAAAUCACCCGUUGAAAACAUUUAUUAAGAACUAUUUAUCUUGUGAAUUGACUGCGGACUUUUGUGCAAAUUCGUAUUUCUAAAAAUAUAAUUAAAAAAAUAAAAUUUCAGUAGAAAAUUAUUUUACCUACCAAGUAUUAUAGCAAGCACAGUACUUUGGAUUUUUAUAUUAUCUACAUUGCAUGUAGUUUUUCACUUUCAACUUUCGUAUAAAUGCAUAAAAAUCCAC